CUCUCCCCUGUCAGAAAAAAGCAUUUCUCAUCUGGCCUCUGCCCUGACCUCACACUCCUCCCGCCUCACACAGCUGACGCUGGAGGCCACAGACAGAUCAUCAUCAUCACUGACUGUGUCCUCUUCAGCUGGGUGUCAUCCAGACUGCAAACCCCGGGAGUUGAGGCUGGAGUGGUGUAAUCUGACAGAGGAGAUCUGCAAUCUGGUGUCUGCUCUGACCUCACACACAUCUACACUCUCUGGGGAACGCCUGAAGACAGAGGAGGUGGAACGAUUAUGUUCUACUCUUAGUCAUCAAGACUGCAGACUGGAGACACUACAGCUGGUGUCCUGUCCCCUGUCAGAAGAAAGCGUUUCUCAUCUGGCCUCUGCCCUGACCUCACACUCCUCACGUCUCAUACAG
Engraulis encrasicolus (European anchovy) is the source of this 403-nucleotide long non-coding RNA. RefSeq lists it as uncharacterized. The transcript is spliced from 3 exons. NCBI's taxonomy places the organism in Eukaryota, Metazoa, Chordata, Actinopteri, Clupeiformes, Engraulidae. The record is from RefSeq and is a predicted model, not a curated record.